AUMAGCCUGGRAAACUGGRUCUAAUAMUGGAUACRACAUGUCACCGCAUGGUGGCGUGUGGAAAGGGUUUUACUGGUUUUGGAUGGGCUCACGGCCUAUCAGCUUGUUGGUGGGGUAAUGGCUCACCAAGGCGACGACGGGUAGCCGGCCUGAGAGGGUGACCGGCCACACUGGGACUGAGACACGGCCCAGACUCCUACGGGAGGCAGCAGUGGGGAAUAUUGCACAAUGGGCGAAAGCCUGAUGCAGCGACGCCGCGUGAGGGAUGACGGCCUUCGGGUUGUAAACCUCUUUCAGCACGGAAGAAGCGAAAGUGACGGUACGUGCAGAAGAAGCGCCGGCUAACUACGUGCCAGCAGCCGCGGUAAUACGUAGGGCGCAAGCGUUGUCCGGAAUUAUUGGGCGUAAAGAGCUCGUAGGCGGUUUGUCGCGUCUGCUGUGAAAGCCCGGGGCUUAACCCCGGGUGUGCAGUGGGUACGGGCAGACUUGAGUGCAGUAGGGGAGACUGGAAUUCCUGGUGUAGCGGUGAAAUGCGCAGAUAUCAGGAGGAACACCGAUGGCGAAGGCAGGUCUCUGGGCUGUUACUGACGCUGAGGAGCGAAAGCAUGGGGAGCGAACAGGAUUAGAUACCCUGGUAGUCCAUGCCGUAAACGUUGGGCACUAGGUGUGGGGAACAUUCCACGUUUUCCGCGCCGUAGCUAACGCAUUAAGUGCCCCGCCUGGGGAGUACGGCCGCAAGGCUAAAACUCAAAGGAAUUGACGGGGGCCCGCACAAGCGGCGGAGCAUGCGGAUUAAUUCGAUGCAACGCGAAGAACCUUACCAAGGCUUGACAUACACCGGACCGGGCCAGAGAUGGUCUUUCCCCCUUGUGGGGCUGGUGUACAGGUGGUGCAUGGUUGUCGUCAGCUCGUGUCGUGAGAUGUUGGGUUAAGUCCCGCAACGAGCGCAACCCUCGUUCUAUGUUGCCAGCACGUGAUGGUGGGGACUCAUAGGAGACUGCCGGGGUCAACUCGGAGGAAGGUGGGGAUGACGUCAAAUCAUCAUGCCCCUUAUGUCUUGGGCUUCACGCAUGCUACAAUGGCCAGUACAAUGGGUUGCGAUGCCGCGAGGUGGAGCUAAUCCCAAAAAGCUGGUCUCAGUUCGGAUCGUGGUCUGCAACUCGACCACGUGAAGUCGGAGUCGCUAGUAAUCGCAGAUCAGCAACGCUGCGGUGAAUACGUUCCCGGGCCUUGUACACACC
Molecule: ribosomal RNA, 1241 nt
Filed under: Kocuria sp.
Lineage: Bacteria; Bacillati; Actinomycetota; Actinomycetes; Micrococcales; Micrococcaceae
Description: bacterial SSU rRNA
Source: RNAcentral